AAGCGGCAACAGCUCAAAUUUGAAAUCUGGCUCUUUUAGAGUCCGAGUUGUAAUUUGCAGAGGGCGCUUUGGCUUUGGAGCGGUCCAAGUUCCUUGGAACAGGACGUCACAGAGGGUGAGAAUCCCGUACGUGGUCGCUGGCUAUUGCCGUGUAAAGCCCCUUCGACGAGUCGAGUUGUUUGGGAAUGCAGCUCUAAAUGGGAGGUACAUUUCUUCUAAAGCUAAAUAUUGGCCAGAGACCGAUAGCGCACAAGUAGAGUGAUCGAAAGAUGAAAAGCACUUUGGAAAGAGAGUCAAACAGCACGUGAAAUUGUUGAAAGGGAAGCGCUUGCAGCCAGACUUGCUUGCAGUUGCUCAUCCGGGCUUUUGCCCGGUGCACUCUUCUGCAGGCAGGCCAGCAUCAGUUUGGGCGGUAGGAUAAAGGUCUCUGUCACGUACCUCUCUUCGGGGAGGCCUUAUAGGGGAGACGACAUACUACCAGCCUGGACUGAGGUCCG
Molecule: ribosomal RNA, 497 nt
Filed under: Alternaria sp. MU-160
Lineage: Eukaryota; Fungi; Ascomycota; Dothideomycetes; Pleosporales; Pleosporaceae
Description: eukaryotic LSU rRNA
Rfam family: Eukaryotic large subunit ribosomal RNA
Source: RNAcentral